This 260-nucleotide long non-coding RNA is filed under the name Elaeis guineensis (African oil palm). RNAcentral's name for it is "long non-coding RNA (EGUI_LNC001809)". Lineage: Eukaryota; Viridiplantae; Streptophyta; Magnoliopsida; Arecales; Arecaceae. The record is from RNAcentral.
CCCCUCUUUGAUUGCUGACUGGUUCUCUCUCAGAUCUCACAGACUCUCUGAAAAACUAAGAAGAACGGGAGGAAGAAAAGGAGGAAGGAGGCUCGGAUUUUGGGCAGAACUUUUCUUUCAAUUUUUUUUUCUAUUUCUCAUACUUUGGGCAUCCAAGUAUUGGGGCCUUUUUAUAGGAGGCAAGGGAUAUUAGGGUUUAAUUGGGAUGUCACAACCAAUCACACGCCAAAGGAGGGGUAUCCAAUAUUCUUGUGUGCCAA